This 319-nucleotide ribosomal RNA is filed under the name bacterium xpnta358lb726offp11.20. RNAcentral's name for it is "bacterial SSU rRNA". It matches the Rfam family "Bacterial small subunit ribosomal RNA", at positions 51 to 378 of the family's 1533-position model. The record is from RNAcentral.
ACACAUGCAGUCGAACGAUGAAGCCCUUCGGUGGAUUAGUGGCGAACGGGUGAGUAACACGUGGGCAAUCUGCCCUUCACUCUGGGACAAGCCCUGGAAACGGGGUCUAAUACCGGAUAAUACUUUCUUCCUCCUGGGAGAAGGUUGAAAGCUCCGGCGGUGAAGGAUGAGCCCGCGNCUAUCAGCUAGUUGGUGGGGUAAUGGCCUACCAAGGCGACGACGGGUAGCCGGCCUGAGAGGGCGACCGGCCACACUGGGACUGAGACACGGCCCAGACUCCUACGGGAGGCAGCAGUGGGGAAUAUUGCACAAUGGGCGA